This 398-nucleotide long non-coding RNA is filed under the name Aquilegia coerulea. Its description in RNAcentral is "long non-coding RNA (ACOE_LNC001541)". Lineage: Eukaryota; Viridiplantae; Streptophyta; Magnoliopsida; Ranunculales; Ranunculaceae. The record is from RNAcentral.
GGGAAAUCAUACUGCCACCCCGACACUUUACAAAGAGCUAUCCCACAUAUUACAAAUACCCCGCAAAACUUAUCUACACCCCGUGUUAAGAGCUAUCCCACUCUCUUGGACAAAUAUUUUAGCUGAUUCAAUCAAAGCUGAUUACUUCUUGAACUUUACUAUAGAAGUUUUUCUGCGCAUCCCAACAACAAGAACAAGAACAAAAUCAAUACAAAAAAUUCAAAAGUUUAAUGGAAAACAUCAGUGUGUGUUACUUUGAUGAAAUAAAAUUACCAAUUAAGAGACCAUCCAUAUCGAAAAUAAUGUGAGUAAUGGUUGCUCAUUUGGUUGAGAUUUCACCGUUUGAUGAUUUUGCCAUUCUAAGGUUUGAAGAGACUAAUGAAUAAGAGUUUUCAGCG